This 1337-nucleotide long non-coding RNA is filed under the name Marmota monax (woodchuck). The record is from RNAcentral. Lineage: Eukaryota; Metazoa; Chordata; Mammalia; Rodentia; Sciuridae.
CAGGAUCCCAGGGAAAAGUUGGGCAGUUGAGGGAGGUUAAGGGCCCAGAAUUGACACACCCCCGGCUACCAGGCAGAGGAGAGAAUCCUCAAGAAGGUCAGGAGGAAAAUCCGUAACAAGCAGUCAGCUCAGGACAGUCGGCGACGGAAGAAAGAAUACAUCGAUGGGCUGGAGAACAGGUACUUUGGGAUCACAUUUCUGAAGGAGGCUAUGUCUGGUUCCCUUCCUCACCAAGGUAGGCAAGGUGAAGGACUCAGAUUGCUGAGCCUUGUCCUGCUUCUCCCCACUCCCUAGGGUGGCAGCCUGUUCUGCACAGAACCAGGAGCUACAGAAGAAAGUCCAGGAGCUGGAGAGACACAACCUGUGAGUGAAAACACCAUGUGUGUGCUGGGGGUGGGGAAGUGCUGAGCACCAUUCUUGGGCCAUGGUUCCCAGAUGAUGGUAGCUCCUUAUUCCUCCUUUCCCAGCUCCUUGGUGGCUCAGCUCCGUCAGCUCCAGACGCUCAUUGCUCAAACCUCAAACAAAGCUGCCCAGACAAGCACUUGCGUUCUGGUACCAUCAGUCUGUCUCCCUCCCAUCUCCCCCAGCCUCCAUCAUCUGUCUCCCCCCACACUUCCAUCCUGAUACCCCCCAUUCCCUAGCUACAUCAGUCUUCCCAACCCAGAAAACCCCAGCUGCCCUCUGCUCCCUUCCUUGACUGUCCCCACAGCCCAAGUGUCUUGCUUUCUUCCAGAUCCUUCUUUUUUCUUUGGUUCUCAUCAUCCUGCCCAGCUUCAGUCCCUUUCAGGGUCUACCAGAAGCGGGGCCUGAGGACUACCAGCCUCGUGGAGGUGAGAAGCUCCCUGGUGAGCAAGGGGGUUUUGCGCACAGUAGUCAAGAAGUGGGAGAGAAGUCCUGCCUGUUCUGUCUAGGGUGCUCCACCCAAGAGAAACAUUCUACUCUUUGCUUUUUCCUUCACCUCACAGUGAUUUCCAGAAAUAUCUUGACCCAUGUGGAUAUGACAGAAAGUCGAGAGACUCCAGUGGAAGAGUCCACAAUGGGAGAGUCACUUAGAGCCCAGAUUGCAAACACGUCGACCAGAACACUGAUAGAGAAGAGGGUUGUGGAGACUGGGUCUGGUGGGCAUGUCAGAACCGUGCUGCAUGCAGAUGAGAUGUGAGCUGGAAGGUUCCUGGCCCACUCCCCUUUACCAUAAGGAACCCAGGGUUCCCCUAUAGCUCUGCUUCCCCCUGGUCUUCCCACUCAGGUGUCUUUGCUCUUGGGGGUCUGAAUCACCUCAGGACAACAUAGGAGAUAUCUGUAUCCUGAGGCCCAGUUAGCCUGUGUAAAAAGAGUAC